UGUACUACGAUUAUCUGCACUCUAGAUAAGAUAACCGCGAUGAGUAUGUUACACUCAGACAGUAUUGCGCACGCUAGUAGGAUAUUGUCAUAAUAAUAAUGUAGAGAGCAACCAGACUCUAUUAUUUCUACUAUGAUAAGGUCUGAGAGGGAUACGAUCGUAACUCCCCGCACAUAGGAAUACUGAUCAUCAUGGGUAGGUCACUGUAGUCGUAAGCGAGAAAUUAGGAAACUACAGGAUAUAUCUUCGGUCCC
Cinara cedri is the source of this 254-nucleotide non-coding RNA. The record is from the annotation of a GenBank genome assembly. Lineage: Eukaryota; Metazoa; Arthropoda; Insecta; Hemiptera; Aphididae.